UGGGGAAUCUUGCACAAUGGAGGAAACUCUGAUGCAGCGACGCCGCGUGAGCGAAGAAGCCUUUCGGGGUGUAAAGCUCUUACGCCAGGGACGAUAAUGACGGUACCUGGAGAAGCAGCUGCGGCUAACUACGUGCCAGCAGCCGCGGUAAUACGUAGGCAGCGAGCGUUGUUCGGAAUUACUGGGCGUAAAGGGUGCGUAGGCGGCGCUCUAAGUUUGGUGUGAAAUCUCCCGGCUUAACUGGGAGGGUGCACUGAAAACUGGGGCGCUCGAGUAUGGGAGAGGAAAGCGGAAUUCCUGGUGUAGCGGUGAAAUGCGUAGGGAUCAGGAGGAACACCGGCGGUGCAGACGGCUUUCUGGACCAUCACUGACGCUGAGGCACGAAAGCGUGGGUAGCAAACA
Molecule: ribosomal RNA, 402 nt
Filed under: uncultured bacterium
Lineage: Bacteria
Description: bacterial SSU rRNA
Rfam family: Bacterial small subunit ribosomal RNA
Source: RNAcentral